Molecule: non-coding RNA, 29 nt
Filed under: Mus musculus (house mouse)
Lineage: Eukaryota; Metazoa; Chordata; Mammalia; Rodentia; Muridae
Source: RNAcentral
UAUAUGCUUUGGGAGCUCGAUUAAGUGAA